ACGCUGGCGGCGUGCCUAACACAUGCAAGUNNCAACGCGNAAAAUCCCCUUCGGGGGAUUAGUAGAGUGGCAGAUGGGUGAGUAAUGCAUAGGUAAUCUACCCUUGAGUGGGGAAUAACUUACCGAAAGGUGGGCUAAUUCCGCAUAAUGUUUCGACACCUAAGUGUUGUUAUCAAAGAGGGGGAUCCUUCGGGACCUCUUGCUUGAGGAUGAGCCUAUGUCCUAUUAGCUUGUUGGUAGGGUAAAAGCCUACCAAGGCUCUGAUGGGUAGCCGAGCUGAGAGGCUGACCGGCCACACUGGAACUGAAACACGGUCCAGACUCCUACGGGAGGCAGCAGUGGGGAAUUUUGCGCAAUGGGCGAAAGCCUGACGCAGCGACGCCGCGUGAGGGAUGAAGGUCUUCGUGAUUGUAAACCUCUGUCAGGAAGGAUUAAAUGUACAGUUGUUAAUACCAGCUGUACUUGACUUAACUUCCAGAGGAAGCUCCGGCUAACUACGUGCCAGCAGCCGCGGUAAUACGUAGGGGGCUAGCGUUACUCGGAUUUACUGGGCGUAAAGCGAGUGUAGGCUGUCAUAUAAGUCAGUGGUGAGAUCCCUCAGCUUAACUGAGGAAUUGCCAUUGAAACUGUUUGACUUGAGGACAGGAGAGGAAAGUGGAAUUCCCGGUGUAGCGGUGGAAUGCGUAGAUAUCGGGAGGAACACCAGAGGCGAAGGCGGCUUUCUGGACUGAUCCUGACGCUGAGAUUCGAAAGCUAGGGGAGCAAACAGGAUUAGAUACCCUGGUAGUCCUAGCUGUAAACGAUGGAUACUAGAUUUUGCAUAAUUUUGCUUGAUCGAAGCUAACGCGU
This 849-nucleotide ribosomal RNA is filed under the name uncultured bacterium. Its description in RNAcentral is "bacterial SSU rRNA". It matches the Rfam family "Bacterial small subunit ribosomal RNA", at positions 33 to 860 of the family's 1533-position model. The record is from RNAcentral.